AAAUUAUCUAAAGCCAAUUCAGGUUAGGUACAAUUUUCAUCUCAGUUACUCUGAAUCUGUUUUCAAAGGUUUUUGUUUUGUUUUGCCUCAGAUGUUGGUAAAGUAUUUAGAUUUUGUGAGGCCUGCUUGUAUGGUGCAGUUUUUUUUUAUCCAUGUUAGCUUUGAAUCAUUGCUUUCAUUAUCAUGAAGUUGUAUGUCAUCAAAUUGUGAUGCUCAUUUCUCGUGGAACCCUAAUUGUAUAUAGAUCAUUCCCUGUUAAGAAUUAGACUUUCUAGUUAUUAAAUGUUUCAAAAGCUGGUAUUCUCUGGCAAUGCUAUACUCAGAUUGUAAGUCACAAAAGACAUUAAACUAUGAUAAUGUGGUGAAAUAACUGACAUUUGCUGAUUCUUGUGUUGUUAAAAAUUUUGUUUUGUCCAAAUAUGAAAGAAUACGAGAGUACUAGUAACAUUAUGUCCGUAAGCUCAUUGAGGCCCGUGCUUGUGUAACUGUAUAUAGAUUCAAAUAGUAAUACGUGUGUGUGUGUGUGGUUAAAAAACCAAAAUCCAAGAACCUAUUGAUAAAGUUCUUUGUUUAAUUUUAGUAAAGCUCAUAAUGGGAGCAAAAACAAAUUACUGUUCUAAUUGAAAUUAAUAAGUAUUAAUAUUUUAAUUGGAUAAAAGUAUCUAGUACAUAACUUGUAGCCAUAUUUAUUGUAAAUAUUAUAAUGCAUUUUUACAUUCAAACAUAUCCACCCCGACCAGUAAAGUUACUUAAUUUUAGUCUGCAUCAAUCCCUUCCUUUGGAAAGAUAUUAAAUGUAAUACUUAGAAAUAAAUGACCUUAUAACACCAAAAUGUUGUUAUUAUUUAAUUAGACACUCGCCAUUUCACUUUGCAGCUUCUUCAUGAGCAUUCAUUAAAACACAAACCGAAACUGACAGUAUAUAAUACAUUAUAUUCGAAUCUAUAACUUGCAAUUGUACAGAAUGCUUUUGACAUAUUAAGUAGCAAAGCUUAUUGUUGAAAGAUGUCAAUGACCCACACAUUGAGGUGUAAAAAAAGCUUUGUACGGUACGGGUAACUUUUAACCAUUCUCUUGCUGAAACUUUAUGUACACCUGUUCAACAAUAGGCUUUACUACAUAAUAUGUCAAGAGCACGCUGUACAAAUGCACGUUAUAGAUUCGAAUAUAAUGUAUUAUGUACUGUCAGUUUUGGUUUGUGUUUUAACGAACGCUCCUUGUAGAAGCUGUAAAGUGAAAUGUUGAGUGUCUAAUUAAAUAAAAACAACAUUUUGGUAUUGUAAGGUCAUAUUCCUAGUAUUAAUAUAUCUUCUAUACACCAAUAUGAACUACAGAAAUUAAAUGACGUAUUAAAUGUACAGAAAAAUAAUUGACAACAUUAAAAUAAUAAUCAUCAAAGAGGAUUAUUUACCUUUCACAAAUAGUUUUACAAAAAUUAAAACAUUUCGUUAACCAAAAUACUACAUAGAAAGUGAAACAGAAGUACAAAAUUUGAUGAAUCCUAAAAAUAAGUUUGGUGAAAAUUAGUUUAAAACGUUGAAAGUAAACAUAGUUUAAUGGAAUGUAGAUAGUUAUUUGGGUUGUUGGUUCAUGUCCCAUUGCUACAAGAUAAAAAUUGUACUUUUGGGGGGCAUGGGUACACUACAAGGAUGGUGCUUAAAUCCCACAAUUUGGUUAGAGCAAUCCCAACUUUUGGUGGUGGAUGCUUUGAGUAGGUGCUUUCCCUGUAUAAUUUCAAAAUCCGUUAUUACUAGUACACAUAGCCUUUGUGAAAGUGCUCCGAUAUCUGAAACAAACUUAUUUACACGUUGGGUUAAUGACUUAUUUUUCUUAAUUACACUUUGCUUCCUCUCUCCUCAGUAUUUCCUUGAUGAAAUAAAAUUACUCUUCACACUUAGAUACAUCUGUAAACGUUUCAGUUAGGAACUGAGAGCUAAAUACAUGUAUACAAAUUUAAGUAUAACCAGAUUCUAUGGGCUUCAGUAGAAUGUUUUACACUAGUUCCACUUAUGUGUCAAAGAAAUUUAAAGCUCUAGUUUUUGGUAUAGUUUGGUAUAUAUAUAUACACUUUAUUAUGACUGUUUUCAUUAUAAAAAAAAAGUUUAAUUGUUUAAGCCAGCUUUUCACCUAGCUAGAAAGCUCUGUUUUGCUUCAUCUUUUAAAACCUAUCAUGAUUUUACAUCAGGUUUAAACUGUCCAAUCAUGAUUAAGUGAAGAAUGCAGCAUUGAUCAGUAUCAGGUCUGAGUACAGAGAGUCAUCACAGAGUUGAAUAUACCUUCACUUGGGGUGGCUAUUCAGAGCAUAUUUGGGUUUUCAAUUCUGAUAAAACGUCACAUUAAUAACCCUUGUAUUUGGUCUUCAGCUGAUUAUGAUACGAGUAGGUGGGUAUCUUAUUGAAUAGGCUCUGAACGUAUCCGUGCACGUAUAUAUAUUACAAAUUUGCAUCGUCUUCUGUACCCGUUUUUUUAUAUUUCAGGUAACUUGUGCUGCGUGGCCUCGUGUAUAAAAUCAACAGUAGAUUUUAAUGUGUAGGAUAGACGUUAAUAAUAUCGGUUUUGUGUUAAGUCAAACACAGUGGUUAUUAAUACACAUUUCCUUUAUCCAUUUGCUACAUAAAUUAGGUUUAUUGUUCUCUGAAACUCCAAGAAAUGUUCAACAUUCUUUCAGCCAAGAAGGACCUUUACUUUGAUAAGCUGACCAUAGUUCUCAAUUUGGAAAGUUAUUAAAAUUUUCAGAGGAGAAACUGGCAAACAGCCAAAGUGUAACGUAAUUACAGAAAAUCCCACCUAUUCAGCCAGAUGCACAAAGUUUUUCUGUGUUACCUUCUAGAAUCUUCAGAAAUAUCGUUUUUCCAUUCUUAAAAAUUCGUCCCAUACAACGUGCAAUUCAGCAUUAAAGAAACGUACGUUUGUUUCAUAAGGCUUCUUAACAAUCAUUUAUUAAAGAUUAAAUAGUUUGAUCUAGUUUACCUAUUUAUGAGUUAGUAUCUCGCAUUCUAUUUUUCAAAUGGAAGGGUUCGUUCUUUGGUGAUUUAAGAUAACUGAGUUUUUUUCCCCCCUUUUCACUGGUAUCUCUCCUUAAACAUUUUUUUUUUAUAUAUAUUCUGCCGCGUGUUUCGUUUGAAAAUCAUUUUACUUAAAAUAGCAUCUUAGUAGAGUGAUCGUUGUUAUAGGUGUUAUUCUGAAACGUGUUUUGCCUCAAAUACUUGUUUGUAUGACGUGGUGACUUGUGGUCCGUUAACUAUUUAACGUGACUAUUUUAAUUUAGCACAGAAUUUGUGAAGGAGAAAACAACGCCUGGUAUGAACAGUAGCUGUACCCUUAUUUUGUCCAUGCUGGUACAUGUGACCUUUAAAAGAAAUUUUCUUGUACAGGAAAGAUAGCGAAAGAACUGUAAAUGUCUAGAAAUCGGUUGUUUUCAUAAUUAUCGUGGGUCAAAAAAUUGUAUUUAUGUAUGUUUUCUUAAACGCGUCUUUAAAACUGAGCUAAUCAUUUGAAUGUUGGUUUUAUAUCACAUUUGAUCUGUUUUUAGCAGGUACUAUAUAUUCCUCACGUGUAUGUUGAGUUGCUAGUUUUAAGUUUUUUUUUUUUACUUUUUGAUCCUUGAUUUAUUGUUCAUUUUCACUUACGUGUAAAAAUUGUUCUGUUUGAUUGUCAAAUGCAUAGUCGUGUAUAGAAUUGUGGUGUUGAUAUCAAGAAGUGAAAAAUACCUUUGGAUUGAGUGGAUUUUUCUUCUUUUUUUAUGUAAAAAUAAAGACAAAUUAUUACCAA
Molecule: long non-coding RNA, 3770 nt
Organism: Limulus polyphemus (Atlantic horseshoe crab)
Lineage: Eukaryota; Metazoa; Arthropoda; Merostomata; Xiphosura; Limulidae
Exons: 2
Source: RefSeq, a predicted model, not a curated record